RNAcentral lists this ribosomal RNA (167 nucleotides) under uncultured bacterium. RNAcentral's name for it is "partial 16S ribosomal RNA". It matches the Rfam family "Bacterial small subunit ribosomal RNA", at positions 338 to 521 of the family's 1533-position model. The record is from RNAcentral.
CCUACGGGAGGCAGCAGUGAGGAAUAUUGCCCAAUGGACGAAAGUCUGAGGCAGCAACGCCGCGUGCGCGAUGAAGGCCUUCGGGUUGUAAAGCGCUUUUCUGGGGGACGAGGAAGGACGGUACCUCAGGAAUAAGUCACGGCUAACUACGUGCCAGCAGCCGCGGU